RNAcentral lists this long non-coding RNA (217 nucleotides) under Lathyrus oleraceus (garden pea). RNAcentral's name for it is "Pisum sativum (pea) long non-coding RNA (PSAT_LNC027064)". Lineage: Eukaryota; Viridiplantae; Streptophyta; Magnoliopsida; Fabales; Fabaceae. The record is from RNAcentral.
UUGUACACAGUCCUUAGAUUCUUUAUUGUUUAGGCACUAUUGUAUAACAUGUUCCAUUGAUGUUUUUAGUUUGGACAUGUAUAUAUAUUGUUGCCAUUAGGCACUUAUGUUGGAUCAGUACCAAUUAUUAACACUUGUAUGAUAUUAUAGUUCCAUUGAUGUUUUUAGUUUGGACAUGUAUAUAUAUUGUUGCCAUUAGGCACUUAUGUUGGAUCAG